GAUGAACGCUAGCGGCAGGCCUAACACAUGCAAGUCGAGGGAGAAGCCCUUUCGGGGGCCGAAACCGGCGCACGGGUGCGUAACGCGUAUGCAACCUACCUUUCACAGGGGGAUAGCCCGAAGAAAUUUGGAUUAAUACCCCAUAAUAUUAUUGGAUGGCAUCAUUUGAUAAUUAAAACUGCGGUGGUGAAAGAUGGGCAUGCGUCCUAUUAGCUAGUUGGAGUGGUAACGGCACCCCAAGGCUACGAUAGGUAGGGGUCCUGAGAGGGAGAUCCCCCACACUGGUACUGAGACAGGGACCAGACUCCUACGGGAGGCAGCAGUGAGGAAUAGUGGGCAAUGGUCGGAAGACUGAACCAGCCAUGCCGCGUGCAGGAAGAAUGCCUUAUGGGUUGUAAACUGCUUUUAUAUGGGAAGAAUAAGGUGUACGUGUACAUUGAUGACGGUACCAUAUGAAUAAGCAUCGGCUAACUCCGUG
This 478-nucleotide ribosomal RNA is filed under the name uncultured bacterium. RNAcentral describes it as "partial 16S ribosomal RNA". It matches the Rfam family "Bacterial small subunit ribosomal RNA", at positions 28 to 507 of the family's 1533-position model. The record is from RNAcentral.